GACGAACGCUGGCGGCGUGCCUAAUACAUGCAAGUAGAACGCUGAAGGAGGAGCUUGCUUCUCUGGAUGAGUUGCGAACGGGUGAGUAACGCGUAGGUAACCUGCCUGGUAGCGGGGGAUAACUAUUGGAAACGAUAGCUAAUACCGCAUAAGAGUAGAUGUUGCAUGACAUUUGCUUAAAAGGUGCAAUUGCAUCACUACCAGAUGGACCUGCGUUGUAUUAGCUAGUUGGUGGGGUAACGGCUUACCAAGGCGACGAUACAUAGCCGACCUGAGAGGGUGAUCGGCCACACUGGGACUGAGACACGGCCCAGACUCCUACGGGAGGCAGCAGUAGGGAAUCUUCGGCAAUGGACGGAAGUCUGACCGAGCAACGCCGCGUGAGUGAAGAAGGUUUUCGGAUCGUAAAGCUCUGUUGUAAGAGAAGAACGAGUGUGAGAGUGGAAAGUUCACACUGUGACGGUAUCUUACCAGAAAGGGACGGCUAACUACGUA
RNAcentral lists this ribosomal RNA (495 nucleotides) under uncultured bacterium. RNAcentral's name for it is "partial 16S ribosomal RNA". It matches the Rfam family "Bacterial small subunit ribosomal RNA", at positions 28 to 507 of the family's 1533-position model. The record is from RNAcentral.